CGAAGAAAAGAAAAAAACUACAAACUAUGGAACAAUAUUUGUCUACUGCUUCUUCUGUCUUGUUUUCAUUGUGGUAGUAGUAAGAUUUGCAAAACCUUACUACAACUUUCAAAACCUAAUGGAGACAGAAGCAGUAAUAGAAGAAGGAUUGUUGGACGUGGGAAUACUUCCUUGUAACAUUAGGAGCUCUGUCUCUGUUCCUGCUAGGAAUCACAAGAGCUCUCGGCAACAAUAAGGGAAGAGACGAGAACUCGUCCUCCAGUUACGUACUGUGUGAAGUUCGAGUCAUUUGACACUAUGUCCAAACUGGUCAAAGACAACGGUGACAAGUACGAGUCACAUCCUUUCUCAGCCGGUGGAUACAAUUGGACACAUUGAGAUCAAGCCCAGCAGAGAACAAAGCUAUGAAAAGAGCAAGCUUUGUGGGAGUACAAACUGGCCUGACAACAAGUUCAUCACAUCUGAAUAUUCAGUAAACAUGCCAUUCCUUGGAAAAUUCAACAUCAACCUCUUCAGAGUAGUGUGGCGAACAGCUUAUGUGGUUGGAGUUCUCUCUUUGACAAACCCCUUUGACACUAAUCCGAUAUCCGGACGUACAUGGCUUGAUUUGAAGUACGUAAGUCAUGGUAUGUUUGUACAACCGGACGUACAUGGCUUGAUUUGGAUUGGAGAAAAAAUCAAAAUUCGAUUUGAAAGCAUAGAAUUGGAGACUCAACUUGAUAAACACAGCUUCCAUCUUCUCUGUGGUUAACAGAGACGGCGAUGAAGGAAGCCAUCGUUAACAGAGACGGCGACGUUCUUUUAUUUUUGUUUAAGCUAUUUUCUUUUUUUUUUUCUAAAUUUUAAUAUUCUUUUUUAUCUUAAUCCUACAUAGCAGUUUGAUUGGUGUUAAUUUAUAGAGGUAAAUUUGAGAGUUCUCCAUAGGGGGUGAACUCAAGUUUUGUUUGGAUGAGAAACAAAACAUGAUACAAUAUUUGUUCUGUGAUAACUGACAAGUAAAUUUCUUAUAGAUCAUUAAAAUUUCGUAUACUUUGAUUUUCCAUGCCUUAUACUUUCAGUUUUUUUUAUUGUCUCCUCUUUUCCCUCUGUGGCAAUAAUCAAUCUCUUAACCUUAUAAAACUUUCAGUAGUAUGCAAUUCAAAUAUUUAGAUAAACUGAAAGCAUUUAUAUAUUUCACAUAUAAAAAAGCCCACAUAUAUUUAGACAGACACCGAGAGAGAACCUUUAUUGUUUCUACAUAUAUGUAGAUGUCUAGGGUAAGCUAGACAUACUAAAGAGUACUUAAUUAUAAAGGCUUUUUAUAAACCUUUAACCAU
Brassica napus (rape) is the source of this 1316-nucleotide long non-coding RNA. RefSeq lists it as uncharacterized. The record is from RefSeq and is a predicted model, not a curated record. The transcript is spliced from 2 exons. Lineage: Eukaryota; Viridiplantae; Streptophyta; Magnoliopsida; Brassicales; Brassicaceae.